RNAcentral lists this ribosomal RNA (519 nucleotides) under uncultured bacterium. RNAcentral's name for it is "bacterial SSU rRNA". It matches the Rfam family "Bacterial small subunit ribosomal RNA", at positions 9 to 526 of the family's 1533-position model. The record is from RNAcentral.
GAGUUUGAUCCUGGCUCAGGAUGAACGCUGGCGGCGUGCUUAACACAUGCAAGUCGAACGAAACACCUUAUUUGAUUUUCUUCGGAACUGAAGAUUUGGUGAUUGAGUGGCGGACGGGUGAGUAACGCGUGGGUAACCUACCCUGUACAGGGGGAUAACAGUCAGAAAUGACUGCUAAUACCGCAUAAGACCACAGCACCGCAUGGUGCAGGGGUAAAAACUCCGGUGGUACAGGAUGGACCCGCGUCUGAUUAGCUGGUUGGUGAGGUAACGGCUCACCAAGGCGACGAUCAGUAGCCGGCUUGAGAGAGUGAACGGCCACAUUGGGACUGAGACACGGCCCAAACUCCUACGGGAGGCAGCAGUGGGGAAUAUUGCACAAUGGGGGAAACCCUGAUGCAGCGACGCCGCGUGAGUGAAGAAGUAUUUCGGUAUGUAAAGCUCUAUCAGCAGGGAAGAAAAUGACGGUACCUGACUAAGAAGCCCCGGCUAACUACGUGCCAGCAGCCGCGGUAAUUC